This 491-nucleotide ribosomal RNA is filed under the name uncultured bacterium. RNAcentral's name for it is "partial 16S ribosomal RNA". It matches the Rfam family "Bacterial small subunit ribosomal RNA", at positions 29 to 506 of the family's 1533-position model. The record is from RNAcentral.
AGUGAACGCUGGCGGUAGGCCUAACACAUGCAAGUCGAACGGCAGCACAGUAAGAGCUUGCUCUUACGGGUGGCGAGUGGCGGACGGGUGAGGAAUACAUCGGAAUCUACUUUUUCGUGGGGGAUAACGUAGGGAAACUUACGCUAAUACCGCAUACGACCUACGGGUGAAAGCAGGGGAUCUUCGGACCUUGCGCGAUUGAAUGAGCCGAUGUCGGAUUAGCUAGUUGGCGGGGUAAAGGCCCACCAAGGCGACGAUCCGUAGCUGGUCUGAGCGGAUGAUCAGCCACACGGGAACUGAGACACGGUCCAGACUCCUACGGGAGGCAGCAGGGGGGAAUAUUGGACAAGGGGCGCAAGCCUGAUCCAGCCAGACCGCGGGGUUGAAGAAGGCCUUCGGGUGGUAAAGCCCUUUUGUUGGGAAAGAAAAGAAGCAGGUUAAUACCCCGCUGUUCGGACGGUACCCAAAGAAUAAGCACCGGCUAACUGCGU